Molecule: microRNA precursor, 174 nt
Filed under: Oryza barthii
Lineage: Eukaryota; Viridiplantae; Streptophyta; Magnoliopsida; Poales; Poaceae
Description: MIR812 microRNA precursor family
Rfam family: MIR812 microRNA precursor family
Source: Rfam by way of RNAcentral
UAUAAGGGAUUUUGAGUUUUUGCUUGCAACGUUUGACCACUCGUCUUAUUUAAAAUUUUUUGAAAUUAUUAAUUAUUUUAUUUGUGACUUACUUUAUUAUCUACAGUACUUUAAGCACAAUUUGAAUAAGACGAGUGGUCAAACGUUGCAAGCAAAAACUUAAAAUCCCUUAUA